This 65-nucleotide transfer RNA is filed under the name Archiblatta hoeveni. RNAcentral's name for it is "tRNA-Glu". It matches the Rfam family "tRNA". From Rfam's summary of the family: Transfer RNA (tRNA) molecules are approximately 80 nucleotides in length. Their secondary structure includes four short double-helical elements and three loops (D, anti-codon, and T loops). Further hydrogen bonds mediate the characteristic L-shaped molecular structure. tRNAs have two regions of fundamental functional importance: the anti-codon, which is responsible for specific mRNA codon recognition, and the 3' end, to which the tRNAs corresponding amino acid is attached (by aminoacyl-tRNA synthetases). tRNAs cope with the degeneracy of the genetic code in two manners: having more than one tRNA (with a specific anti-codon) for a particular amino acid; and 'wobble' base-pairing, i.e. permitting non-standard base-pairing at the 3rd anti-codon position. The record is from RNAcentral. Lineage: Eukaryota; Metazoa; Arthropoda; Insecta; Blattodea; Blattidae.
GUUUAUAUAGUUUAAGUUAAAACAAUACUUUUUCAUAGUAUAAAUAAAGGAAUAUUUUAUAAAUA